GUGAGUAACGCGUGGGAAUCUACCCUUGACUACGGAAUAACGCAGGGAAACUUGUGCUAAUACCGUAUGUGUCCUUCGGGAGAAAGAUUUAUCGGUCAAGGAUGAGCCCGCGUUGGAUUAGCUAGU
This 126-nucleotide ribosomal RNA is filed under the name Rhizobium sp. Its description in RNAcentral is "partial 16S ribosomal RNA". It matches the Rfam family "Bacterial small subunit ribosomal RNA", at positions 106 to 249 of the family's 1533-position model. The record is from RNAcentral. Lineage: Bacteria; Pseudomonadati; Pseudomonadota; Alphaproteobacteria; Hyphomicrobiales; Rhizobiaceae.